RNAcentral lists this transfer RNA (65 nucleotides) under Rattus norvegicus (Norway rat). It matches the Rfam family "tRNA", at positions 6 to 65 of the family's 71-position model. Rfam says of the family: Transfer RNA (tRNA) molecules are approximately 80 nucleotides in length. Lineage: Eukaryota; Metazoa; Chordata; Mammalia; Rodentia; Muridae. The record is from Rfam by way of RNAcentral.
UAUAGUUCAGUGGUAGAACAUAUGCUUACUUAGCACAUGUGAGUCUCUGGGUUCAAGUCCCAGUA